RNAcentral lists this ribosomal RNA (251 nucleotides) under uncultured soil bacterium. Its description in RNAcentral is "partial 16S ribosomal RNA". It matches the Rfam family "Bacterial small subunit ribosomal RNA", at positions 26 to 287 of the family's 1533-position model. The record is from RNAcentral.
AGGACGAACGCUGGCGGCGUGCUUAACACAUGCAAGUCAAGGGGGCCCAGCAAUGGGCAACCGGCGAACGGGUGCGUAACACGUGAGCAACCUACCGAAAUGUGGGGGAUAGCCGGCCUAACGGCCGAGUAAUACCGCAUACGCUCUCGAUGAGGCAUUUCAUUGAGAGGAAACCUACGGGACAUUUCGAGGGCUCGCGGCCUAUCAGCUAGUUGGCGAGGUAACGGCUCACCAAGGCAACGACGGGUAGC